Molecule: long non-coding RNA, 819 nt
Organism: Equus caballus (horse)
Lineage: Eukaryota; Metazoa; Chordata; Mammalia; Perissodactyla; Equidae
Source: Ensembl
AAACAAUGAAGCCCUUCACAAAAGGAAGGCAUUUCUGAUGUGACGGAGGUAAGUUCACAUGACACAACAGUUUAGUUACUUGGAAUGUCUCGCAAGGUCUUGCAAGUUGAACUACUUCUUUAAAGUACGGUCUGUUGUUUGGCACACACACCUUUAGGUUUCCUGUGGCUGCUUCUUGGUGGAUCAUUACAUAUAAGAAAGAAGUGCUACCAUGUUGAAGGAGAACCCUAAGGGAUUAGAGUUGCCUGGAAGGAGAUCUGAAGGUCGUGAUUCCUGAGCAUGUCUAUGAAGAUAGGUAAACCCGGAAAUGCCAAGAGAAGGGUGCACUCAACCAUCAACAAGGUCGAAUCCUGGGGUGACAGCCGUGACGUUCUCCAUAUUGUCAAUCACCAGCAAACCGAGGAGAAUGAGGCCACGUGGGGCCUCCGGUCUGCUAAGACUCGCCCUGUGUCCUUGCUAACAUGACGCGAAGCAUGGGUUGUACGUGCCCUCUCUCUGCAAGCGCUCACGGGGACUGAUGUAAUCUUCUGCUCGACUGGGUAGGAACCGGCAGAGCAGGACUCCUUGCCUCCCUGUGUCAGCCUCUUAAGUGCAGAAUUUCGAGAUGGCUGCUGACAUACUUCUGCUUUGGUUUCAAGGUUUGCUCAAGAAGCAACAGCGUGGGACAGGGAUGAAGAUGAAAGGAUGAAAGGAAAAACUGCCCAGACACUUGCAUACACAAAUAAGUGCUGUCACCUUCCACACUCCACUCACAACCGCCUCCAGAUAUUGAUCACAAAUAAAGUAGAAUGCAGUCUUAAUUGCCAAAUACAUCUUGAC